UUUUUUUUUUUAACCCUUACUGAGAGCCUCCAGCAGGCCAGAUUUAAUUUGAUGCAUAUGGCAUCCACACGAUAUAGGCCUUGUUACCUCCAAUUUUCCCAAUGAGAAGCUGAGGCUCAGGGGUUAAAGGGGAGACAACUGGUCACUGGUGGGGCUGAGGUUUGAAUCUGGCUUGCUGGCUCCCCGAAUAAGAGGAUUCUUUCCACUCCUCCAAGCUCCCCGACAAGGGACUCACCUUUCCCAAGGUCUAAGGAUGUCCUAAGGGGCUCACAGGUCCCACUGGUCUCCUUGGAGGCUGGACCUUGAGUCACCCCGGAUUGAGCCUCGUACCCUCAGUAUUUUGCCAAUGAUCUCAGGGUGAAUGGUGCUGAGGAAGGAGAACUUCAGAGAAGAGAAACUAACUUCCACAGUGGGCCAGGUCAGAUCGUACUAUUUUGUACCAAAAGCUGUUAUCAGGCUUAAAGGGGAAAGAGCGGGUGUAACGGAGACUUCAGAAUGUGUUUCGGAACUACAGCAAGAUCCCGCUCAUGGAGGUACAUAAAACCUCAGAGGUGGUUUCGUGAGAUGAGUCAGAAGAGUAUAUUGUUGCAUUGAUUCAACUGCUGCAUCUAAAAUGGCUUUGGUUUCUGAAGCAGCCAAGACAGAGAGAGAGAGAGAGAGACAAGGCGUCCACACUGUCUCUCUGAAGGGCAGCCUCUAGCAUCGUGACUUUGGAAUCCAUCUGUGUACCAGCGAGCCUAACUCAUAAUGAAAUUCUGGCCAGGAUCCACCUCUCACCAAAAAAAAAAAAAAAAAAAGAAUGGAAAAGAACUUCCACCUAAGGAAUUGCUGAAUUCAGGGAUCAGAAGCCAUGUGCUUCUAUCACAGCAGUGGGGAGUCUGGAAGGGACUACAGAAGGCAUGGCCAGGGCUUUGGAAUGGUAUGACUGACCAGCAGAGAGUCCUCCUCCCCUCCCAGGAUCCUCUAGGCACCCCUCCCCAGGUAGGAAUCUGUUAAGGAUGAGGCGUGUCCACAACAAGAAGAGAUCAUAGGAAUGAGGGAAGCAGUGAAGCCUGUUUCCCUGUCAAAGCCAGAGGGCCAGUGUGAUCCAGGAGGGAAGGCACUGGAAUGAGCGACAAGAGACCUGUUUUCGUCCUGGCCUCAUAACUGCUGUGCCACAUUGGGCCCACCUCUCCCUUUCCCUGAGCCUCAGAUGCCCCAUCUGCCAAAUCCUAGACUGGGCCAGCUGCCCUCCCAGGGACCUCUCAUCUGUUAUAGAAGGUGGUUCUGGAGCCCCUUGGGUGUGGGCCUGUGACAAGAAAUGAACUGCCACGUAGCACAGAAGAUGAAAUGAAUCAGAUAUUCAUGCAAGAAACCGGCCAACAGGCUCAUCUGAGAGUCUCCACAGGGUCAUGAUGUCACUACCUAGAGGGAAUCUGUCUUUAUUUAUUGGCUCUUUCCUGUGCAGAAUGCAAGGGAGUCUCCCUCCGGCUGAGACCCCCGGGAAGGAGGCCACAAGUGGAGGUGACUUGAACCAGGACGGCAGGAACCUGGGGUCCCUGGGGGGCUCCGGACAGAGGUCAUGGUGGAAACCCUGGGAGGUGGGGUUGCCUUUAGGAUUUUCUCCUGGCCACGUGGCGCAUGUGUGGUUGAGGCUGGGACCGGACCCUUCCCUGCACACCGAGCUGCACUUCUGCAGAGCUCUCAGCCUUGCUGCAGGAUCCAGCAGCCACCCGCUCCUGAGUACCCCGAUCCCCCUCCUCUGAACUCCCCUGUCCCACUCACAUGGGAGCAGCCACCUCAUCUUACAGAGGAAGGAACUGAGGGCAGAGGGGUGGCCUGACUUGGCCAGAGUCCAGCGGGGGUGGGAGCAGCAGGGCUAGGCCUUGAAUGCAGGUCUCUGGAUUCCCGACAGGGUGCCCCCGGCCCAGCUGCCAGUCCCCCUUGCCUCUGCUGAGCCCAUCCUUGCAGGGCCCACCACCUGCCUCUCUGAGUCUUCAUCAUGGCUCCUGGAGGGUAGAGAGCACUGCUAGCACCUUUUGGGGCUCUGGGCAUCCCGCAUGGCAAUGGGCAUACCAUGGUGCCCAGCAACCCUCAGCAGACAGAAUUAGCCACUGGCUUUAGAGACUGACCAUGUCUCCGAGAAGACUCUGAUGAACUGAGUGGGUGACCUGGCAGGCUCAGGUUGGGGGAGUUGAAGAGUCACCAUGCUACAGUGGAAAGAACCCUGGCCUGGGAGUCUGGGUUGAGUCCAUGCCUGGCUGGGCUAUACAUCAGUGACCCUGGAGAUGUGUCCCCUUCUCUGGGCUUCAGGUUCCCCAUGAGUCCAACAAGGGGCUGGAGGAACUCCCUGACCUCUGGUGCCCCUGCAGCUCUAGCAACCCCUGGCUUUAGGCACUACUAGUGUCCCCAGCAAGACCACGGACAGAGCCGAAAGUGGCAGUGCAUUACCCCUUGCUCCUGACAGAUCUGCGUCAGCCUCUCCAGCUGCUCGUCUUGGAUGACCUUGGCCUUCUCGUACUGCUGGAUAACCAUCUCCAUCUCCAGCUUCACUGGCAGGACGUAGGCUGGAAGACAGAGACAGCCCUGUAAAGAAUUCAGAAGUGGCAGGGCUUGGACUGGGGAAGGGCAGGCCCAGCAUUCAGCCAGCAGCAGGUUCGAGGCCCUGGGCCAUUUCUGUGGAUCUAGAAGGGGAAAUGUCCAGGUACCCGACAGCAUCCAGAAAGUACAGAGGGCCACAACCUCCACUCAUGGUGUCCAGGGUAGCUGUUUUCCUGUUUUCCAUGGUGCUAGAUCCCGUACUUUUGGGCUGUGUGCACAGCUGCCUGGAAUAAAGACUAUUUUCCAGCCUCCUUUGCAGCUAUGGGUGGCCACAAGACCACCCUCUGGACCAUAGGAUGCUAGUGAAGGUGGCAUGCAGCAGCUGCAGGAGCCUUCUUCACAGAGGAGCUGGGGCCAGUGAGGAUGGGGCAGCCCUGGAGCCUGCACACACUGGUGGAAAGCAAAACGGUGCAACCACUUAGGGAAACGGUUUGUCUGUUUUUCAGAGUGUUAAACAGAGAGUGACCAUAUGACCCAGAAAUUCCAUUCCUAGGUACCUUAGGGGAAGGAAAACAUGUGUCUUCACAAAAACUCGCACACGAGCAUUCAUAACAGCAUUAUUCCUAAUAGCCAAAAAGUAGACAUAACCCAAAUGUUCAUCAGCCGAUGAAUGCGUAAAUAAACUGUGGUCUAGC
Nomascus leucogenys (northern white-cheeked gibbon) is the source of this 3215-nucleotide long non-coding RNA. RefSeq lists it as uncharacterized. The transcript is spliced from 3 exons. Lineage: Eukaryota; Metazoa; Chordata; Mammalia; Primates; Hylobatidae. The record is from RefSeq and is a predicted model, not a curated record.